AUGCAAGCUGACUUGUGUUCAGGAACCUGAUGAAUAGCUCAAAAUAUGGCUCAAAGGUGUACUGCCUGCAGCCAAGCAGCUAUUGACAAUCGCUACAUUUAUAGGUGAAUCUAAGAAUGAUACACAGCAUGUGUUAUUGAUGCCACGAUGAUCUUGGUGUUCCUAUGACUCAUAUAUCAGAAGGUAAGG
Molecule: long non-coding RNA, 189 nt
Organism: Cyprinus carpio (common carp)
Lineage: Eukaryota; Metazoa; Chordata; Actinopteri; Cypriniformes; Cyprinidae
Exons: 3
Source: RefSeq, a predicted model, not a curated record